This 4230-nucleotide long non-coding RNA is filed under the name Sus scrofa (pig). RNAcentral's name for it is "lncRNA (ENSSSCG00030003020.1)". Lineage: Eukaryota; Metazoa; Chordata; Mammalia; Artiodactyla; Suidae. The record is from RNAcentral.
AUGAGGAGGAGGGUUUCUUGGUCCUCUGAUGUUCUUUCCCCAGCUUCUUGAGUGAGAAACUUUGUUUAUUAACAUUUGAUCUUUUUUUAUUGACAAACAAAUGCACUUAAUGCUACAGAUUCUCCUCUGGCUCUUAUUUAGUCACAUUUCACAAGUAUUCUACAGAAUACACCUGUUAGGUUUCAUUUCUAGUCUUGCCAAAGCAAACAUUUUUUUAAAACAAGAUACAAGUUAGGCAAAUCAUAAAAGAGAAGGUUGAUAAAUUUGACAUCUGUAUUAAAAGAAUCUAAAGUUUAAAGUUAAAAGAAAAAAGAGACUUGAGGAAUAUUUAUUUUUCAUGGAAGGACAAUUUGGUAUCUAUAAUAUAGUAUUGGUUUCCAAAACCAAUUUAAAAAAAAAAAAAACUCAGUAUAAUACUGGACAUAGGGUGUUAACAGUAAUUCACAGAAGAGGAAAUAAAAUAAGUAGCUAGUAAAUAUAAGAGAAAGAUGUUGAAUGUUCCAAGUAAUCAAUUAAAUGACAAUAAAACGAAUGGCAUGAAACAUUUUCUCACCCAAUAGAUUGACAACAGAAUCCCAGAAAAGGGAGUGUGAGAGAGGUACAACCUCCAAGUUAAUGUACAAAGAAAAUUCAAAGCCUUUUACUGUAAGAACUCUCAGCAAUCUAGAACAUGAAGUGAACUCCUCCCAUCUGAUAAAGGACAUUUGCAAAACAACUAACAGCUGACAUCAUAUUUAAUCAUGAAACAGUGAACAUUUCCACUGUCAGAUUAGGAACCAGGAAAAGGGGAUCAUCCACAUUACUUUUUUAAAAAUUAAAGUAUAGUUGAUUUACAAUGUUGUGCCAGUUUAUGCUGUACUGUAAAGUGACCCAGUCAUAUAUAUGUGUGUAUACACACACACACACACACACACACACACACACACACAUUCCUUUCCUUAUAUUAUCUUCCAUCAUGGUCUAUUCCAAAAGCUUGGAUAUAAUUCCCUGUGCUGUACAGCAGGACUUCAUUGCUUAUACAUUCUAGAUGAAAUAGUUUCCUAUCUACUAACCUCAAAAAUAAACAUAAAAAUUAAUAAGUAAAUGUGCCUCAACUGUAGAUGACAUUAUUGGUUAUGCAUAAAAUCUCAAGGUGACACACAAAAUCCGUCACAUUAAAAAACCAAUUAGUAAGACUAAUAAGUGAAUUUACACAGAUCAUAAAAUAAAAGGUAGCAUACAAUGUCCACUGUAUUUUUAUAUUCUAGCUGCAAAUAUCAAAAUAACAAAAUUCCAAUUACAAGUGAAUUAAAACAUGCAAAAUACUUAGCAAUAAUUUUUUAAAAGAUAUGCAGGAUCUGUACGCUGAUUUUUGGACCAUAAGCAAACUGUCGUACUGGCUGUUAGGGGCUACAUGGGGGCUCUUGUUAAAAUGGCUAAAUAAGCAGCGUUUCCGCUGCGCCACAACAGGAACUCCUAUUUUUUCUUUUAUAUGAAUCAUUUUCUAUAAACCAAGGGUCAGUCACCUUCUCCUUUCCCUUUAAUAAAUUUGCUUCUCUUUGCCUGAACACCCGGCUCAUUCUCUUUUUCUCUGCACUCGCCUUAUACCUGCCUCAUGGGAUGGCUGCAGAACUGACUGAAACAAUGUAUGCUGAGUAUUCAGUGUAAUAUUUGGUUAGAGAUACACCCAAUAAAUGGUAGCGGUUAUUUUUUUUUUUUAUGCUNUUUAAAAAAAAAAAAAAAAAAAAAAAAAGGAGGAGGAGGAAAAGAAGAGGAAACUGCCAUCUAGGAAAAGUUCUCAACCUUGAACCCUGCAGAAACCCUGGUUGCUCCAGCCCCACCAGGACCCUGGGGACCAAAGAAGCAGCAGGGCUCAGCUGGCUUCCAAAGCUACUAUAAAGUCAGACAAAAGGGUCUCUUCCUUUCCAGGACCCUUUUCCUUUGUAAAAUGAGUUAGAAUACAAUGGUUUCCUCAAAUGUUUAAGCAUUAAUUUAUGCCUUCAAAUUCGUAAGAGGGAUAGUACCGAAAAGCUGAGAAACAAACGUAUGUGGAAUUUGACAAAUGCCGUUCUGUCAACAAUAAGAGAAAAGCUAAAGCCUGAGAUAUUGUGUACUUUGACAGAACUAGUCAAUUAUAGCUCUCAGAAGUAAUAACCUGCAGUCGUUAAAAAAAAAAAUAUCAGAUGUACAUGGAAAGCUGGAGUUUACCUCCAAUCCAUCCAUUAAUGCUCCCAGACUGAAUGAUCCACUUCUGGGAGAUAAAAGUCUUUGUAAAAGGAUUCUCUGCAGUAGGGGAUCUGAAGAUGCUGACACGAGGGCUACAGGGAGAAAUCCAAGGUAGAAGGGAAAGGCUACCAGGAGACAGAGGUUGAGAGCCAGCACUAUUUACGUUCCCACCAAGUUGACUUCAAAGGCUCUCUAAUGCACUCUUGGGUUGGUUUUGCUUUGGAGUCCCAGAUUUUCCUGUUUGGUUCCAGGAAUUUGCUCAUUUGGUUAAAGGCAGCCCAGUCAGUGUACAGCUCCUCCGUCCUCUAGAUAUGUUUGCUAAAAGUCUUUCAUAUUAAGAUAUAAACACAUCACCAAAAAAAAAAAAAGCGGUUUUUAAGUAGGCUUCAUGCUUUUUUUUUUCCCAACACAAUCACUGGAUAUGGCAAUGGUAGUAUUGGAAAAUUCUAUUUACUGAAUGCCUACAUUGUCUAGACAUGUGCUGAGUCAGGUGCUAAUAAUUGCAGUAAUUCCCAGCAUCAGAACACACCCUAAAUGUCAGCCUCACACACAGGGAAACUAAAGUUCAGAUUGAGUUAGUGGUACCCAGCCGGUAAACAGUGCAGUCAACAUCGAAGUUAUGUCUGCCUCUCUCCAAAAUCCAUGGUCCUUGCAUUUCAUCCUCGUCAUGUAUUGUUUAAAGGAUCCAACAUUGCUGCAACUACGGCAUAAGUCAUAGCUGAGGCUCAGAUCCAAUCCCUCGCCCAGGAACGUCCUUAAGCUUGGGUGCAGACAUAAGAAAAUAAAUAAAUAAAAUAAAAGAAGCGCCAAUUCACAGUUUUAGCACUGAAGGCCACCCUAGGUCCCAAUGGGACAGGCUUGUGCCUAGGAAGCCAGCCCAAGAGAUAUGACCUCCUUGUGCUAUAGGACAGAACUGAGGCUUCUAAACCCCAGAAAGUACAAAAAGCAUCUUUUACUUUGAAGGUUUGGGAUGAGAGCUGACACAGAAGCUCUCUAAGUGCAGUGGGCCUAUUCCAGGAUGCUCUUACCAGUGAAGUGAGUCACCCCACAAAGCAUUCUCCUCUCAUACUGCUCAGAGCGCCAGGGUUGAACAUAUAGUGAGAUGUUCAGAUGCAGGUCAAGGUCAUGGUCAUCUGCAGGGCUGGGUAUUAUCCCCAAGUCAGUCAGUCAUUAACUCAAGGAAUUUCCCAAGGCAUAUAAUCUAACUUAACCUAAUUGAGCCAACUAAAUUUCCUCUGUUUACUCCCAUCAUUAAUUCUCUAUAUGAGACUAGGAGUUUUCAGAUUCACUUUGAAAUAAUAGUCUUUAGAAACCUAUUUCUCUCAAUUAUUUUAACAACAUACACUAUUUAAACACAUUUCAUCCAGCACAGUAUUGGAAACAAAAAUGGUGGCAAGGACCAUGUCCAGUGGAAUAAAUCCAGUUCCAAAUUUAGUUCUAUAAGACGAAUAUCAUCCACAACUUAUUAUAAGUUAACUGCAAUUCAGAGAAUUUAACUUACUUUAUGAAUAAGUGGCAUAAUCCAGAUUCAAGCAUAGGUUUUGUUCCAAGUCCAGUGCCCUCACAUACCAUAACACUUUGCCUUUAGGUCUGCAAACUCCAGAAAUUUUAAACUCUUAUUUAAAGGGUUUAGUUUGCAUAGACUCACAGACAUGAAGAAGAGACUUGUGGUUGCCAAGGAGGAAGGGGGUUGGGGAAGGAUGGACUGGGAAUUUGAGGUUAGCAGAUGUAAACUAUUAUAUCAAGGACGGAUAAACAAUGAGGUCCUACUGUAUAGCUCGGAGAAAUAUACCCAAUAUCCUAUGGUAAACCAUAAUGGAAAAGAAUAUGAAAAAGAACGUAUAUAUCUGUAUAACUGAAUCACUUUGCUGUACAACAGAAAUGAACAUAUUAUAAAGCCACUGUAGUUCAAUAAAAAAUUUUUAAAUAAAAAGACUUUUUUUUUUAAAAGGGCAUAGUUUUCAUGACUUAUAUAUGAGAGGUGAUUAUAAAAGGCUGAUCCAAAAUAAAUAAAUAAAUAAAAGG